Molecule: long non-coding RNA, 249 nt
Filed under: Capsicum annuum
Lineage: Eukaryota; Viridiplantae; Streptophyta; Magnoliopsida; Solanales; Solanaceae
Description: long non-coding RNA (CANN_LNC015489)
Source: RNAcentral
AACAACAUUCAUUAUAAGCUGUCACAAGCGUGAUGACUUAUCACCAAUGUCAUCAGACCUAAGUAGAUUUCCACCCCCAGUGAUGACAUUUUUGAUAAGUCAUCAUGCUCGUGAACGCUUAUCUCGAAUGUCAUCAACCUUAACCACAAAAUCAAGAUUUCACCUUUUUGUGACGACAUUUCAUGACGACUUAUCACCAACUUGACGACUUGUCACGAAUGUUGUCAGCUAUUUUUUUCUUAGCAAUUA